Molecule: small nucleolar RNA, 71 nt
Organism: Rhinolophus ferrumequinum (greater horseshoe bat)
Lineage: Eukaryota; Metazoa; Chordata; Mammalia; Chiroptera; Rhinolophidae
Source: Ensembl
GCUAUGUGCUGACACACUCCCUGUUGUGUCCGGGCCACUGAGCCACCGUGAUGAAGCUGAGGGCCUGCAGC